UACGUAGGGGGCUAGCGUUGUCCGGAAUCAUUGGGCGUAAAGAGCGUGUAAGGCGGCUUGGUAAGUCCGCUGUGAAAGUCCAGGGCUCAACCCUGGAAUGCCAGUGGAUACUGUCAAGCUAGAGUCCGGAAGAGGCGAGUGGAAUUCCUGGUGUAGCGGUGAAAUGCGCAGACUAUCAGGAGGAACACCGAUGGCGAAGGCAGCCCCCUGGCCAACACUGACGCUCAGGCACGAAAGCGAUGGGGAGCAAACAGG
Molecule: ribosomal RNA, 255 nt
Filed under: uncultured bacterium
Lineage: Bacteria
Description: partial 16S ribosomal RNA
Rfam family: Bacterial small subunit ribosomal RNA
Source: RNAcentral